CCUUAGAGUUUGAUCCUGGCUCAGGACGACCUUUGGCGGCGUGCCUAACACAUGCAAGUCGAACGGGGAUCAUGAAGCGGAAGUUUUCGGAUGGAAGGUUUAUGAUUCUAGUGGCGAACGGGUGAGUAACGCGUGAACAACCUGCCUUUCAGUGGGGGAUAACACCUGGAAACAAGUGCUAAUACCGCAUGAGACCACGACCUGGCAUCGGGAUGGGGUCAAAGAUUUAUCGCUGAAAGAGGGGUUCGCGUCCCAUUAGAUAGUUGGUGAGAUAACAGCCCACCAAGCCGACGAUGGGUAGCCGAGCUGAGAGGCUGAUCGGCCACACUGGAACUGAGACACGGUCCAGACUCCUACGGGAGGCAGCAGUGGGGAAUAUUGGGCAAUGGGCGCAAGCCUGACCCAGCAACGCCGCGUGAGGGAAGAAGGUCUUCGGAUUGUAAACCUCUGUCGCAAGGGACGAAGGCGUGACGGUACCUUGUGAGGAAGCCCCGGCUAACUACGUGCCAGCAGCCGCGGUAAUACGUAGGGGGCGAGCGUUGUCCGGAAUUACUGGGCGUAAAGGGUGCGUAGGCGGUUGCUUAAGUUGGAUGUGAAAUACCCGGGCUUAACUUGGGGGGUGCAUUCAAAACUGGGCGACUAGAGUUCAGGAGAGGGAAGCGGAAUUCCUAGUGUAGCGGUGAAAUGCGUAGAUAUUAGGAGGAACACCAGUGGCGAAGGCGGCUUUCUGGACUGACACUGACGCUGAGGCACGAAAGCGUGGGGAGCAAACAGGAUUAGAUACCCUGGUAGUCCACGCUGUAAACGAUGAA
Molecule: ribosomal RNA, 812 nt
Filed under: uncultured bacterium
Lineage: Bacteria
Description: bacterial SSU rRNA
Rfam family: Bacterial small subunit ribosomal RNA
Source: RNAcentral